UACGUAGGGUGCAGGCGUUAAUCGGAAUUACUGGGCGUAAAGCGUGCGCAGGCGGUCCGCAAAGUCUGAUGUGAAAGCCCCGGGCUCAACCUGGGAACUGCAUUGGAAACUAACGGGCUCGAGUGUGGCAGAGGGGGGUGGAAUUCCACGUGUAGCAGUGAAAUGCGUAGAGAUGUGGAGGAACACUGAUGGCGAAGGCAGCCCCCUGGGCUAACACUGACGCUCAGGCACGAAAGCGUGGGGAGCAAACAGG
This 253-nucleotide ribosomal RNA is filed under the name uncultured bacterium. Its description in RNAcentral is "partial 16S ribosomal RNA". It matches the Rfam family "Bacterial small subunit ribosomal RNA", at positions 524 to 776 of the family's 1533-position model. The record is from RNAcentral.